Molecule: long non-coding RNA, 964 nt
Organism: Peromyscus leucopus (white-footed mouse)
Lineage: Eukaryota; Metazoa; Chordata; Mammalia; Rodentia; Cricetidae
Exons: 2
Source: RefSeq, a predicted model, not a curated record
CUGCCAGCUGCCGCCAUGACCAGCAGCAUGUGAAGACGCCGGAGGGAAAACAGUGGUGAACAGAAUAGCUGAGUACACAUCACUGAAGAGCAAGACGGCUGCUUCCAACCACUGCAAGAGAAAGCCGUGAGACCCACAUUCUUCAGAGCAUGCCACCGGAGAGUGAGUGUGCUCUACCUAUCUAGUCAUCCGAACUGGGCCAGGUGAACCUGCACCCAGAGGCCACCACUUGGUUUACACCCUGCCUCACUUCUCUGGGAGGAUUCCUCUUUUUAGCAGGACUAAGAAGCCAAGAGAACAGCUGGGACAGGACGUUAGCACAAUGAUCCUGAUGGGAACCAACUCUUGAAAGCCCUGAGGAGGAGGAGGAGCUAGUGUCUCCCAGUGCAGAGAGUGACUGACACUCGUGGAUGGGCUCCAUGAAGUGACGUGGGGUCUCCGACACCUGGGCUACUUACGGUAGUCGCCAUGACAUCGGUGGGAGAAUCCCCACUGCAGAUUCCUGCCGCCCAAGGAACUCCUGUGCUCACAGGCCUGCUGCGUCCUCACUUACCCCAACCCAGGCACUUCUCUAUGACUUUCUUUGUGUCCCAGCUGAAUUCUUCCUUCUCUUUUACGGUUAUAAAAAUGAAAAAAAAAAAUGGCAACAUCUUUCUCUUCACUGUCAACAUUUCUCAGUGUUUUACCAACGGCUUCAUAGCAGCUCACCCUAUUCAUUUAAUGAAGUGUGUUUCUCACAAUAAAACAGAAUUGUGAAUGAUCACGUAUCUAUGCCAUUUAAAAUAUGAACCACAUGUUUUAUGUGUAAAAUACAGUUCCUAUUCUAAUUAAUUAAUUAAUAAGAAUUCUGUAAUUUUCAUAUUGUAACUUUUUAUAAUCUCCAAAACUCUCCAAAUGACUGUUAGUCAAAUGACCAUCACAGCUUUUGUUAAUAUAUGAGAAAAUAAUAAACCUCAUUAACGUC